GUUGUGUCUAUUUCAUGGCUCCUGCUGUCUUUUCUCAACAUUGGGUGAGAGUUUGUGUGUGUGCUGUGGGAACCCCCUCAACCCACCUCCCAGCAUGUGAUCCACUGGAGUCAUCGCAGAUAGCAGGCUCCCAGUACUUGGCUUUGCUGCAGCCAUGUCACCCUGCUUCUGGCUGUAGAGGAGAAAAUGCCAGUAACUAUCAACAAAACUAUGAGCAAGAUAAUCGCAAACAUGAAAAAAGAAAAUAAAAGCAUCAAAGAGAUCCAUGCAUGGCUCAAGGAAAGUGGCAUUAUAGUCACUUUAGAAACAGUGCGCUAUCAUGCUUUCGAGAGAACAACGCCCAGAUUUGUAUUUCCUACAAAAUGCACAUGAAGAGUGCAAGAAAUUGUGGAGGAACUAACUCGUGAGGAUGAUGAGCGUACUGCUUUGCAAAUAAAAUGAAUUCUCCAUUCCAAGUAUGACCUGGACAUAUCGAUCACCAGCGUUAGAAGGAUGCAACGGAAAAUGGGAUGGACCUUUAGCGCUACAAGGCAAAAUACUGAAAGCAGUAUAAACCGAUAUCUCCCAUGAUAAGAGAUGUGAAUAAAGAAAAGAGUUGAACAGGCACGGCAAUGGAUUGAGAGUGGUGAAACAUUUCAUGAUGUCAUUUUCACAGAUGAAUCGUCUGUUGCUCUUGAGCGGUUCUCCAGAAUGUCAUUCUGGAAACGUCACAAUAUCUCAUUAAAACCACGCCCAAAGCAUCCAUUUAAAGUCCAUGUAUGGUGAGGCAUAUCACGAUUAGGAGCUGGUCCCCUAUUAUUUUUUGAAGGUACUAUACUUUAUUCUGUGCCUGUGUUCUGUAAAAAAUACAUGCUGUACUGUAGAGUACAUGUAACUGCACAAUAAAAUGAGUUGCUUAUUAAUGAAAAACAUUUUUUUAUUUCUGUAGGGAUCAUGGAUAAGCAGUUUUUCACAUAUGAAAAUUCUUC
Molecule: long non-coding RNA, 968 nt
Organism: Pseudophryne corroboree (corroboree frog)
Lineage: Eukaryota; Metazoa; Chordata; Amphibia; Anura; Myobatrachidae
Exons: 4
Source: RefSeq, a predicted model, not a curated record